This 765-nucleotide ribosomal RNA is filed under the name uncultured crenarchaeote. RNAcentral describes it as "bacterial SSU rRNA". It matches the Rfam family "Archaeal small subunit ribosomal RNA", at positions 528 to 1295 of the family's 1478-position model. Lineage: Archaea; Thermoproteati; Thermoproteota. The record is from RNAcentral.
GCUCAGCAAGUCCUCCGUUAAAUCCAGCGAUUCAAUCGUUGGACUGCGGGGGAUACUGUUGGGCUAGGGACGAGAGAGGCCGACGGUAUUCUCGGAGUAGGGUGAAAUCCUAUAAUUCCGGGAGGACCACCAGUGGCGAAGCUGUCGGCUAAACGAGCUCGACGGUGAGGGACGAAAGCUGGGGGAGCGAACCGGAUUAGAUACCCGGGUAGUCCCAGCUGUAAACGAUGCGGGCUAGGUGUUAGGGUGGCUACGUGCCACUCUAGUGCCGCAGCGAAGGCAUUAAGCCCGCCGCCUGGGGAGUACGGCCGCACAAGGCUGAAACUUAAAGGAAUUGGCGGGGGAGCACCACAAGGCGUGAAGCGUGCGGUUUAAUUGGAGUCAACACCGGGAACCUUACCGGGGGCGACAGCAGGUUGAAGGCCAGAUUGACGAUCUUGCCAGACAAGCUGGAGAGGAGGUGCAUGGCCGUCGCCAGUUUCGUGCCGUGAGGGUGUCCUGUUAAGUCAGGCAACGAUCGAGGACCCACACUCCCUGUUGCUACUGAGGAAAGUUUCCAAGGGGCACUCUGGGAGGACAGCCGUCGAUAAGACGGAGGAAGGAGUGGGCCACGGCAGGUCAGUAUGCCCCGAAUCCCCCGGGCCACACGCGUGCUGCAAUGGCCGGUACAAUGGGUUUUACCUCGAGAGAGGACGGUAAUCCCGAAAGCCGGUCGUAGUUUGAAUCGAGGGCUGCAACCCGCCCUCGUGAAACUGGAAUGCUAGU